This 497-nucleotide ribosomal RNA is filed under the name uncultured bacterium. RNAcentral's name for it is "partial 16S ribosomal RNA". It matches the Rfam family "Bacterial small subunit ribosomal RNA", at positions 28 to 507 of the family's 1533-position model. The record is from RNAcentral.
GAUGAACGCUGGCGGCGUGCCUAAUACAUGCAAGUCGAACGCAUAGCGAAAGGUGCUUGCACCUUUCAAGUGAGUGGCGAACGGGUGAGUAACACGUGGAUAACCUGCCUCAAGGCUGGGGAUAACAUUUGGAAACAGAUGCUAAUACCGAAUAAAACUUAGUGUCGCAUGACACAAAGUUAAAAGGCGCUUCGGCGUCACCUAGAGAUGGAUCCGCGGUGCAUUAGUUAGUUGGUGGGGUAAAGGCCUACCAAGACAAUGAUGCAUAGCCGAGUUGAGAGACUGAUCGGCCACAUUGGGACUGAGACACGGCCCAAACUCCUACGGGAGGCUGCAGUAGGGAAUCUUCCACAAUGGGCGAAAGCCUGAUGGGGCAACGCCGCGUGUGUGAUGAAGGCUUUCGGGUCGUAAAGCACUGUUGUAUGGGAAGAACAGCUAGAAUAGGAAAUGAUUUUAGUUUGACGGUACCAUACCAGAAAGGGACGGCUAAAUACGUG